This is a long non-coding RNA of Haliotis rufescens (red abalone), 274 nucleotides long. RefSeq lists it as uncharacterized. The record is from RefSeq and is a predicted model, not a curated record. NCBI's taxonomy places the organism in Eukaryota, Metazoa, Mollusca, Gastropoda, Lepetellida, Haliotidae. The transcript is spliced from 3 exons.
UGUUGUUUUCACGUUGACUUGACAUAAGUAGGUCAGCCAAUCAGGUGGCUCGCUCGAUUCUGCCCGCGUUUGACAUCUACUUCCGCUCGGGGAUGGUAACAUUUUCCAAGCUAGCGCAAUAAACUGUCAAUAUUUCGAUGUGAAGAAUCAAGAACAGCUUUAAUGACAGGGAAGUUUUGCAUCAGAGAUCAUCGUGUGAUGGAAGAUAAGACAUGUUAAGGGUACCUGGAUUUCACAAUGACACCAGAUCAGACAUGUCAUAAGGACUCUCCGG